UGAUCGGAACUUCUUGUAGUUUGUGAUCCUCAGUUGUUUAAUGAUGGCCAGUGUUUCUUCUGUGACUAUUUACAGAGCCGAUCCUGAGAGCACACUUAAUUCAUUGUAGGUGCUGAAACACACCGCGCUUGUCAAAAUCUGCUGCUGAAACAUUACAGGCGCAAGCAUUGGGUGUACCCUUGUGCCUGAACCCUGAUUCCGUCUGCACUUUCAAUAAACCAGACAACAGACACCCCAUUACAGACACAACAUGGCUCUAUGGAGACCCCCGUUUUUACCUCAGGGAACCAAAUCUCCAAGAUU
Molecule: long non-coding RNA, 303 nt
Organism: Sinocyclocheilus rhinocerous
Lineage: Eukaryota; Metazoa; Chordata; Actinopteri; Cypriniformes; Cyprinidae
Exons: 3
Source: RefSeq, a predicted model, not a curated record